RNAcentral lists this unclassified non-coding RNA (4783 nucleotides) under Hermetia illucens (black soldier fly). RNAcentral describes it as "eye-specific diacylglycerol kinase, transcript variant X4". Lineage: Eukaryota; Metazoa; Arthropoda; Insecta; Diptera; Stratiomyidae. The record is from RNAcentral.
GCUUGUUUCCCUCGUCGAGAUUUGUCGUCUCUUCCGAUUGCAGUUCAUGAAUUUUGUCGAGUAUCGUCAAGUGCAGAGAUUGGUUUUGUGACUACAAGCGGCUAGUUGGGGACAGUGUAACGUUCCUAAUGGCCUGAAGCGCUCAAAUUAGCCCCAGAUUUACAGAGCCCGUCAGCAAUGAAGGUACAUCGCAUAGUAGCUUGUAUGACGUAUGAUGUGUCGUGUGCGGGCUGAUGGACGUGAUGCGGAAUCUUUAUCUGAAGCGUUUCACGACAAGAUGUUUUCCGACCACCGUUCCGGAAAAUGAUCCUCUUGUUUUCCAAACAUCCGAGUGUGAUUCAAGUGCAACAAUUAUUCUUGAAACGCUCCAGUGGUCGUGGUCGUAUGCCUCUUUUCGCGCGCUUUUCAUGAAUCGUGAUGUUACUUGAGAAGUAUCUACUGUUGGUGAAAAGAUGCAAGAUGUGAAAAUCGCGAGGAAUAUGUGCAUAUUCUCUGCAGCCUUGGAUUAUCAAGGUCUUGGGUGUUUUAUGUGCUAAAAACGAUUGAGUGCAUUUUGAACUACUGUAUUUUAACGGUCUAGAAAGUGUCUUGAAUCUUUGCAAUGAUGAAAAGCUCAUCGAUUUCUUGGAAAAAAUAUUGAACUGAAUUGAAAGUGAAAGUAAAGUUUACAUAGGAAAAUUGAGGAGAAUGGAAAAAGAUACUCAAAAGUAGAUAUUACUGCAGAGGAUAAGAAAAACAUCCCUGCGGAGACUGAGGAAGUAAGCGAACAAUAUAAGUUUAAACAUCUGUAACUAUGCUGAGCGGAAGCAAAUUAAAAACUAAAUAAGUGUAUGUGUAACAAUAGUUGUUGUCUAAUGUAUGUUAGUCCUAAGAAAUGAUUCCUAGAUAUAAAUUUAAUCGUAUUGCAAUCACAUAGUGUCCAGUGUUCCUUCUUGAAAGUGGUUUCAACAUCUAAACAAACACUUACCCUCUGUCGUUCAAUAAAAAAGUGUAAUGUGCAAAUAUUCCUUAAGAAGAAAAAGUUUCUCAUAAUUUUUAUGUGUAAUAAAUGUUAGUGUAAUUAAAAUGAAAAAUUCACAAGAAAAAAAAUAAAAGUCCAGAUAAAAAAGAAAGUUUAGCUGUGAGCUCUCCUGGAAGCGACGUGGAAGGUGUGCUGGUCAAGGAGAUUACAGGGGAUUUGUGUAGCAAGUGUUGCUUGUUAUUCAGAUAAUUUUCAGACUGGAUUUAUCGCUGGCGGAAGUUAAGAACAACGAGGGAGCUUAAGGGAGGAAUGCUUGGGAAGGCGAUAUUGCCUUCUAUGGAAUGCCUUCCAAGACCUUGCUAAGGUGGCAAGGCGACGUAACCGAAAGGCUGAAAUGGAUUGGAAAACGCGUUGGAGAGAGUUGGGUGUGUAGCCUCCAUUGGCGGAGGCGAAAAAGACCCCUCGUAGUCUCUCAGCAUAAUGCACCGUUUGCGUACAACAUUUACGAGGUCACGAACACCAACCGGGGCUGAAAUGAAAACCCAAAGUAGUCUCGAAGUACCCAAACAGGUCCGUUCUGCCUCCUUCGAUGAGAUGAAGUUGGAGACGCAGCGAACGGCGCAACUGCUAAAACAUCAAGCCUCCGCUGACGAGCAAUCGACGACGGGUUUUCUUCAAGUGCCUCAAGCUCAUUCGCAACGAUCGAGAAGUUUCGAUUCGGCCGGAAGUGAUGAUUCGGGCACAUUCCUCGAAGUACCUAGGCGAUUUCAAACGAAACGACGUUCAUCGAAUACAAAAACGCCUCCUCCAUGUAUUCACUGUCAGUACUUGGAGGAGUACGAACGCCAGGUGACUGCAGAUCAACGAUACUUUAUUGAUCAGAACGAGGUGAAAUCCUUGAGCUAUAGUGAUCCAUCGACCAGCGAGGAUGAAGGCGUCGAUGAAGAAAGCCCCCAGUUUGGAAAUACCUUGAUUCCGCCUCCCUUGUCAUCACCCUGCAACAUUACCUUCACCCUCUCGCCCACCAGUAGCACGUAUCCUCCAUUUCCGACGGACGCCGAAAUUCUCGGAUCACCCCCUGUUUCACCGGUGUUUACCAAUUCACCUACAAUCGAACUGCCUCCUAUUACUUUCGAUGAGGCUCCUCCUCCUAGGGCUCGAAGACGCUCAAUAUCCCGACAGGAAGCAAUUUUCGUUGAGCCCAAGGGGAACUCGCUGGAAAAUGUUAGUGCAGAAGAGAAAGAGCCAGGCGAAGAGACGGACAGUGCCGUCAAGGAUCAGGAGGCGGAAAAGCAGACAGAAAAGGAUAAGGCUGUGAACGAAGUUUCACCCCUGGAUCAUGUUCAGGAUAUAUAUUUGGCUGUGCCUGAUUUGAAGCGAGAUCGUGCCGCUUCAGUCGACUCAUGUUUUUCCAAAGUAUCUUCGGCAGGAAAAACCGAAGAACUCCAACCACCCGACGAUGGAUCUUUUCUCAAUGUGCCGAGCAUAAAUGCGACUCGAUCGCGGUCUGUUGACAUUGUCCUGCCCACUAACGAACAAGCGCGCUAUAAGGCGCUGGCGAUGACCGGAGCCGUCGCAUAUGGAGAAGGAAAGCCAAGUGGGGGAUCAACAGGUGGCUCACAGCAAAUUCGAAUAGUUCCGGACUGGAGCGAAAAUGCCAUCAACGGUGAUCAUUUAUGGGCUCCAACGUCGGCUUCGGGAGAGAUGUGUUCCAUUCCUGAUGAGUGUCGAAAAAGUGGACAACGUAUGAAAUGUGCAGCGUGUCAAAUUAUAGCCCAUAUGAAUUGCAUUCCAAUUGUAAGUUCGAAAACCCAACUGGCGUGCAGACCGACAUUUCGUGAUGUAGGCGUGAGGCAAUACCGUGAGCAAACAACAACGCACCAUCAUUGGUUACAUCGGCGUACAGAGAAGGCGAAAUGUAAAGCGUGCAGCAAGGCGGCCCAAGGAAAAUUGUUCGGAUCCAAGGAAAUUGUAGCGCUGACGUGUGCUUGGUGCAAAUCCACAUAUCAUAAUAAGGAAGCGUGCUUCAAUCCCGAACGAAUAGGAGAAGAGUGCUCCUUAGGUUGCCAUGCUUCUAUUAUAGUGCCUCCUUCGUGGAUAGUAAAGUUGCCGAGCAGAGGUAAUUUCAAAUCAUCCCUGCGAGCAUCCAAGAAGAAACCAGCCAGUAAAAAGAGGAAUAAAGAGAAGGAAAACCGAGCCUUUAUUAUAAAACCAAUACCCACAGUCAAUGUAACGCCUGUAAUUGUUUUUAUAAACCCGAAGAGUGGCGGUAACCAGGGUGUAAAACUUCUUCAGAAGUUUCAGUGGCUAUUAAACCCACGUCAAGUUUUCGACUUGACGCAAGGCGGACCAAAAAUGGGGUUGGAGUUAUUCCGGAAAGUUCCACAACUUCGUAUCCUAGCAUGUGGUGGUGACGGCACAGUCGGUUGGGUUCUAUCCGUUCUAGAUCAGAUUAACAUUCAGCCCCAGCCAGCCGUAGGUGUUCUUCCACUCGGGACCGGAAAUGAUUUAGCCCGGGCACUUGGAUGGGGCGGGGGUUACACAGAUGAGCCAAUCGGUAAAAUCCUCCAGAACAUUGGGAAAUCCGACACAGUUCUCCUGGAUCGUUGGAGUUUGAAAGUGGAACCUAACACCGCCGCCGAACCAACCGACGAGGGCAAGGAAAACCUGCCCCUGAACGUUGUUAAUAAUUACUUCUCAUUUGGUGUUGAUGCACAUAUUGCCUUAGAAUUCCACGAAGCCCGAGAGGCUCAUCCGGAACGUUUUAACUCUCGUCUGAGAAAUAAAAUGUUCUACGGCCAAGCAGGUGGUAAAGAUUUGCUGCAGCGAAAGUGGAAAGCCCUAGCCGAUUUCGUAACAUUGGAGUGCGAUGGACAAGAUUACACCCCUAAACUAAAGGAUCUUCGAAUGCAUGCUAUUGUGUUUUUGAAUAUCGCAAGUUAUGGCGGUGGUACUCAUCCUUGGAGCAAAACUCCAGGAACAUCCGAGCCAAGUACCGAUGAUGGAUUAAUCGAGGUGGUUGGUUUGACUACCUAUCAGUUGCCGUUGCUUCAAGCUGGUGGACACGGUACGACAAUAUGCCAAUGUAAAUCAGCAAAAAUUGUUACAACAAAGACAAUCCCUAUGCAAGUGGAUGGUGAAGCGGCUAAGCUAAAACCAUCUAUAAUUGAGCUCACUUUACUCAAUAAGGCUGUGAUGUUAGCUAAGAAGAAACCUGGCCGAAAUAUCGUUCAAUUGGGCGGUAUGGAGCCACUUAAUUUAAGCAUUCAUCGAAUAACAAUGCCUGAUUACGAGCAACACCACUACGAUAAGGAACUGCUGAAACAAUCCGCCGUGAAUUUGGGUAAUAUCGAAAUUGAGCCCGUUUCCGACCUGGAACAGGCUCGCAAUGCUAUUAACAAAUAUUGUGAUGAAUCGUCCAAUUUCCCGAAGCUAUCACAAGAAUGGUGUUUCGUUGACUCAUGUACUGCUGAACGAUUCUUUCGAAUCGAUCGUGCUCAGGAGCAUCUCCACUAUAUAACUGAUAUCGCAACUGAUGUGAUCUAUGUUCUGGACCAAGAGUGCGCAACAAUGCCACAAACUCCGGAUGCAGAUGGCUCAUUUGCUGCCUUCAACCAGAAACAAAAGUCGAUUCAUGAUGCCGAACUCAAUAGCCACCAUAGAAAUAGCUGCCCAACUUACUAGAAAAGACAACCGAAUCAGUCCUGCAUGCCGCUAAGGAUGGAGAUCUCAAUAUGCUACGCUUUUUACAUGAACAAAAUUUUUCUCUACUCGCAAUCGAUUCAAAUGGUCAAACAGCUCUUCAUUAUGGGUGUAAAUAUA